CUACUCGUACUAAUUUCAUAAGGCCCUGUUACUAACAUUAUAUGGAUGUAAUGUUCCGAAAUAAAUGUUUAUUAUUA
Long non-coding RNA from Maniola jurtina (meadow brown), 77 nucleotides. RefSeq lists it as uncharacterized. Lineage: Eukaryota; Metazoa; Arthropoda; Insecta; Lepidoptera; Nymphalidae. The record is from RefSeq and is a predicted model, not a curated record. The transcript is spliced from 3 exons.